GAUGAACGCUAGCGAUAGGCUUAACACAUGCAAGUCGAGGGGCAGCAUGGUCUUAGCUUGCUAAGACUGAUGGCGACCGGCGCACGGGUGCGUAACGCGUAUGCAACUUGCCUCACAGAGGGGGAUAACCCGUCGAAAGACGGACUAAUACCGCGUACACUCUAUUUUGGGCAUCCAAGGUAGAGGAAAUGAAAUUCGCUGUGAGAUAGGCAUGCGUCCCAUUAGCUAGUUGGUGAGGUAACGGCUCACCAAGGCGACGAUGGGUAGGGGAACUGAGAGGUUGAACCCCCACACUGGUACUGGGACACGGACCAGACUCCUACGGGAGGCAGCAGUGAGGAAUAUUGAUCAAUGGGCGAGAGCCUGAACCAGCCAAGUCGCGUGAAGGAUGACUGUCUUAUGGAUUGUAAACUUCUUUUGUAGGGGAAUAAAGAGGGGCACGUGUGCCCCAGUGAAUGUACCCUACGAAUAAGCAUCGGCUAACUCCGUG
RNAcentral lists this ribosomal RNA (490 nucleotides) under uncultured bacterium. Its description in RNAcentral is "partial 16S ribosomal RNA". It matches the Rfam family "Bacterial small subunit ribosomal RNA", at positions 28 to 507 of the family's 1533-position model. The record is from RNAcentral.